AGAGGGAUAGAAUUGCAUUUCCAUUGCAAAUUGGUAUGCAUUCUUAUGCCUUCAAGCAGCUUAUUUUGGCUUUCCUGUCAGUGCUGCACCUGUGACCUGUGCCAUCCUUUCUUAGGCUUUGGGUUGAAAUCAAGGACACUUCCUUUCAGCCCAGUUUACCAUUCAAGGCCAUUAAAGUAUCUCCAAUCUUAAGGAUCCAGAGAACUGGGAAGGAAUCUUUGGAGCUGGUGCAGACCAAAAUACAGCAACUUUGAAAGUAACUUCUUUUUGCUAUGAUUAUUUCUAACUGUGGAUCGUGCUGGUGGUGGUGAGAGUGCCCAAGCUCAUGUGCACCUGGUGACUCGAGCUGCUUUUAUCUUCCCAGAAGUUCAGUAUUAGAGCUCAAGCAGUGGUGCUGGGUCUCAUGACCUGCAGCAAGGCUGUUCUGGUACAGGUUCUACUGUUUAAUCUGAAUCCCUCCUGUCAGAGGGAGAAAACCAGCAGGUACCACAGAGGCCACAUUGCUGGGUUUCCCUGGAAUCCAGCUGCAUGCCAGUCCCUGUUACACAGUAAAACAUUUGGACUGUCAGAGAGGCUUGGUUCACAGUAAUUUUCUCUCCACAGUGGUAUUUUGGGACACCUUCUGUCCCCUCAGGUCCCCAAGAAAGUUAAAGGUAUCUUCUGCAGCAUCUGAGGUCCGCAAGACUGACUGCUGGAAGAGUAAUAAGUGUCUCCCUAAGGUAGUGGGAUUCAAGUUCUAGGCUACGGUGCUGCUUUAGCAAAUCAUGCCUUGGGAUUGGUAAUUUCAUUUGGGAGUAAUGUCGACAGAGUGUAUGGUGAUGGCCUUUAACUGGCUUCCUUCUAAAUUUCUGAGAUAAGCACAGUGUUCAGACAUGCCAUAUUCUAUUUGUAUGUUGCUGAUAUUUCAUUGACCAUCCCAAUAAAGCCAUCACUUUGAUGUGUAAAACAUGCAUCUUCUCAGGGAACAUCUGAAAACCAGGAAACUUUUGGAAUGGUUCCUUCUCCAAAGUGCUGGAAAAGAGGCAUUUUAGAGUCCUUGCCAUACCAAGAAAAUGUCAUGGUUGAAGGCAGCCUGGGCCAUGAAGACUUUGCAUAAAUCCUGAAAGGCCACUUGGAAAUGUUAUGUUUUGUUGCCAGUCAGUGAAGAGAGACCAGGGAAAAAGCCAUGUUCAUUCAUGGUGGUAGAACCAGUUAUAAACCAGCAUGGAUUCUGAAUCAGCUUUGAAUACUGCAAGCUGUAGGCAUGCUGUAACUCUCUUGCCAAUGCAAGAGGAAAGUGAGAUCGAAGAAGCUGGCCCCACUCUACCCCUUGUGCCCUCAACCCUGAUAAUCGUCACUGAAGCAAGAAUCCCACAGGCAAAACUUAUACACAGUUCCAGUGGGAUUUAUAUAGGGAAACUAAUUUACUGUACUUUCCUUUAUGCUUUUUGCUGUUAUCUUUGAGGCCAUUUGGAGCAUCCAGUCCUUCCUGCCCCUAUGCAUCUUACAUUAGAUCCAUAUUAGAUCCGCUAUAGGGCAGAAUCACGGCUGGGUGUGUGUUGUCUGUGGUAGGCAUUGGUACUUUGCUGCUGGGAGCAGGCCAAUUUGAUUAAUAUUGAGAAAGAUUCUCUCAAAGACAGGUAAUCAACCUAAGCCCUAAGUGUGCAUCAGCCUCUUGAUGUGAGAGUCAUAAUGGCUGGUACUGCCAUCAGAGCUGCAUUUAUAAAUCUGUGUGGGAGAUUGGCUGCAAAGGAACAAACCCCAGUGAUAUUAGUGCUUAUGCUCGUUACUGGCAGAGCUGACACAUCUGAGCAGGGAGACCGAGUGAGUCUGCCACUGAAAACAGAUGCAUCUUUCUUUUACUUUUUUUUUUUUUUAAUAUGGUGGGCAAAGUGACACCCCAUGCACAGUCCAAAUGAGCCAGUUCUACCUUUUCUCCUGAGUCAAGAUGAAUGAUUAGAGCAAGCUUCUGGCUGGAGGAAUACUCUGGCUGUCCUCAUGAUGCAAAAGAUUCCACCUGCUUCUAUACAGCUAAUAAAUAACUCCUGAUGCCAGAAUAACUCCUGAUUCCAAAGGUUGAUGGAUAUCAUUUGAGCUCUCAUUUCAGAGCAAUGCAGCAGACCACUGCCACCAGCAUCAAACUUUCCUGUAAUUCUGACUCUGUAGUGAAUUCCUUCCCAACUGGAAAUAAGAAAGUCUUACACAGCUCUUUCUCUGCUUGAGUUCUCUGUUUUCUGGAUUGUGAAAUUAUCCUUUGCAUAAUUCAAGAACCACUUCAUGAUCUAUGUUUGGCAGAAUUUGUUACCCAACAGAUGUCUGGACAGUUAAUGACCUCUUUAUCGGCACUUGUGAGAGGAAAAUUGUCAAGCAGGAUUGUAUCAAACAGGAGGUCCAGUCAGACAUCCCUGUGGAGAUAUUCUGCAAUCCAGGUGCUGAAGUCCCUAGAACAUAAAUCUGCACAGUCAAGUGCUUGAGAGGAUGGCUUGUACUUCAGUGUGUGCCACUGUGAAGGAGACAAAUUAGGCUGCCUGCAUACAAGUGCUUCUCUAGCAGUCGGGGUCCUGGCAGCUGCCUGGGACUCUCUCCACAUGGCUCCUGAAGUGCCAGGAAGUUUGCUAGGUGCCUCACUGGUAUCUGUUUCUGCAGUGAAAGGGUCGUUGUGGCCAAACUGUUGGAUUGGAAGGUACCAAAACCCUGGAGAAAGUUUCAGCAGCUGGAUCUAUACUGGUAAGGUUUAGAAGCCAAUGCUCUUGCAUUCUAUGCAGAGCUCUUGCAAUUGAUGUAUAGGUGGAUUACUUGGCAAUUUUGGCAUGAAACUCCUGGCAACCUCUCAGAUGGUACGUGGAUCUGGCUUGGAGGACAGCAUGGAGCAGGAGUCAUUUCCUCAAAAGCAAUUUUACGUCAUCACUUUCAGGUGAAGAAGAAAAUGUAGUUCUUCAGUGCAAGCUGGGACACACAGUUUGGCCUCAGAACCCAAAGAACAAUGUCUGGUCUGUUUUAUGAGCUAGAGAGCUGGAGCAGGUACCUGAAUUUCUUGCUGCAGAUUUGGUCUUGGUCUCUCUAGCUUUGGCAAAAGGUUUCUUUUUCAGUUUGGUGAGGGACAUUUUUGUUUGGGUUUUUUUUUGUUUGGUUGGCUGUUUUGUUGUGGGUUUGUUUUUUUUUGGCUGGGGGAGUUUGAGGAUUUUUGUUUGUUUAAGUAUGUGCCUACAUGCCUAUCUACUUUUGGUUUUCUUCAGAUGGAGAAACCUGUUUCCAACACUCAUUCAGUACAGUUUAAAGGGUCUUUACAUGUUCUUAAUUACUACCUCUCCCCUUCUCCUGUGUCUUUUCACUUGAACACUUUGGGAGACAUGGCCAAUUCUUAUUGUUUCUUGUCAUGGUUCACUGGCAAAUAACUAUUGCCCUAGUCCCCUCCAGUUACUGGUAACUGAUCCAACACACCAGACAAGUUCUUUUGAUUUCAAGAGCAUUGCUUGGCCUCCUAUGGAGUCUUUUGAGCACCUGUAUCUUUUGAUACUGAUACCUGGUUUAGAGCAUCUAUGUGAAAAUUGUCCCGUGAUCAUAUUAAGCAUACAAUACAGAGCCUGUUCUGGGGCUAGUUAGCUUGGAUUUUGGGGGCUAAUGAAAACUACUAAGACUGUAAAUUUUUUUCUCCUCUUUCCCAGCUGGACUGACUCGCAGGUUUUCUUUGUUUUCCCAUUUGGAGUUUCCUAGUGCACUUUCAGUGGUACAAGCUGUACACUCAUCAGUUCCUCAAUCUUCACAGAAGUAUUUCUACUAUCUUGUCAGAUGAUAUUUUUAUACAAGGAGGUCACUGAGUUACAGAUGAGGACAUGCCUGAAUAAUUGGUUUUGCCCUCCAAAUACAUGUGGCCUCUUGUCUCUAGAGCAUUUCCUAUUUUACAGUAAAGAGUAUUUCUCCCACUUUCAUGAAUUUCACAUUUGGUGGAUGUCCUAUGGUGGGCCAGUGCUUUUACACCCACUCUUGUCCCAAAGGAAGUCUCCCAAAGACAGCUAUACUUGACUCAGAUAUGGUUCUCUCAUCAAAAUCAAAGGGCACUCUGUAGAUUGUGACGAUAAACAUAUGGGCUUACUACAGUGCAAGAUGUUCAAAGCAAUCAGACAUUCUGGCUGCAAUUUAUCUAGAAUAAAAAUUAUCAGGAAUGGCCAGGAGGUAAUCUGAACCAAAUGCUCCACAACACCAUCCGUGAUAAUGUCCCAUCUAAAUGUGGCAUUACUGGGAUGUCUAUAUGCGCUCACAGGUUGAGGAACCUUUUGCCACAGUGAUGGCCAGAAAUGGUGAUUUGCCUGCUGAAGAAAAGGUGGCACAUAACAUUGGCACAGAGUAAGACAUGCAAAAGUUUGAUUAGACAAUCUGGGAUUCUUUUUUAACUCCAAACAGCCCUGCAGCAGUGAGUCAUAAAUCCCUGUAUACACUGAAACUUCUGCAAUUUUGCUCUCAAGCUGCUUCUUGGGACUUCUUCGCAGAAAUCAUUUUCUACAGGAGGGAUGAGUUCAGUUGCCCUGCUUUAGGAACCACAAGCUUUUAAAGCAAUCUUUUGUCACAGGUCUGAGUUGACAAAACUGGCAGCUUAGCGGGAGUUCCACCUAUUUUUUAAGGAUUCAGAUACUUUGUUUGUACAAUAUGGAGCUUUCCAUGUAAUUGCAGUAAGGGGUAAAAAUGGCUUGACUGCAAGAAAACCGCCCAGCUCCAAAAAUUUUCUGUUGAAAAGUAUGUAUUAAAAUUAUGCCAGAGCUUUGUUAGCAGUAGCAUUGCUAAGACCUUUUGGCCAUAAGUUGUAUUAGA
Poecile atricapillus (Black-capped chickadee) is the source of this 4785-nucleotide long non-coding RNA. RefSeq lists it as uncharacterized. Lineage: Eukaryota; Metazoa; Chordata; Aves; Passeriformes; Paridae. The record is from RefSeq and is a predicted model, not a curated record. The transcript has 5 exons.